GUCACGCAUCCAGGGCCUACAGGCCCCAGCGAGUAGGAGGGGCGCAGCGGUGUGCGCAGAAGGGAUUGGGCGUGAGCCUGCCUGGAGCCGCCGUUGGUGCAGAUCUUGGUGGUAGUAGCAAAUACUCGAGCGAUAUCCUGGAGAUCUGAUGUGGAGAAGGGUUCCAUGUGAACAGCCUUUGCACAUGGGUCAGUCUGUCCUAAGCUGCAGGAGAAAUCCGGGUUCUGGCGAAAUCGGUGCUCCCGCGUAUAUAAACAUAUUACACGUGUCACCGCCAAACCUAAGCGAGAGGGAAUCCGGUACUGAUUCCGGAACCUGGUCACGGAUAACCCCUCUUCGGAGGGGGUCGUUGGGGUCCUCGUGAUCUACACCGUAAGGUAGCUAAACUCGGGGAAGUCGGCCGCUGUCCCGGGCAGAGUUUUCUGUUCUGUAUAAGGGCCCGGAUCCCUGGAAUCGCCUCGCGCGGAGAGAGGGAACUGGUUUCAUUUUAGCCCGAAGAGCCCCGCAGUUCUUGCGGGGUCCGAUUGGAUGGCGGUCGAACCGUGAAAACUCGAGGGAGGGCGUACAACUUUCGUGCCAGCCUGUACCGAUAUCCGCAGCAGGUCUCCGAGGUGAACAGC
This 620-nucleotide ribosomal RNA is filed under the name Xenoleberis sp. 1 HTMP-2021a. RNAcentral describes it as "partial large subunit ribosomal RNA". It matches the Rfam family "Eukaryotic large subunit ribosomal RNA", at positions 1366 to 1880 of the family's 3401-position model. Lineage: Eukaryota; Metazoa; Arthropoda; Ostracoda; Myodocopida; Cylindroleberididae. The record is from RNAcentral.